RNAcentral lists this ribosomal RNA (328 nucleotides) under uncultured eukaryote. RNAcentral describes it as "partial 18S ribosomal RNA". It matches the Rfam family "Eukaryotic small subunit ribosomal RNA", at positions 1470 to 1796 of the family's 1831-position model. The record is from RNAcentral.
CCCUUAGAUGUCCUGGGCCGCACGCGCGUUACACUGAUGCAUUCAACGAGCUUAUAACCUUGGCCGAGAGGCCUGGGCAAUCUUGUUAACGUGCAUCGUGAUGGGGAUAGAUUAUUGAAAUUAUUAAUCUUGAACGAGGAAUUCCUAGUAAACGCAGAUCAUCAAUCUGCAUUGAUUACGUCCCUGCCCUUUGUACACACCGCCCGUCGCACCCACCGAUUGGAUGGUCCGGUGAAGCCUCGGGAUUGUGGUUCUUGCCGCUUUAUUGUGGCGUGACCGCGAGAACUUGUCUAAACCUUAUCAUCUAGAGGAAGGUGAAGUCGUAACA